Molecule: ribosomal RNA, 492 nt
Filed under: uncultured bacterium
Lineage: Bacteria
Description: partial 16S ribosomal RNA
Rfam family: Bacterial small subunit ribosomal RNA
Source: RNAcentral
AGUGAACGCUGGCGGUAGGCCUAACACAUGCAAGUCGAACGGCAGCACAGUAAGGGCUUGCUCUUACGGGUGGCGAGUGGCGGACGGGUGAGGAAUACAUCGGAAUCUACUUUUUCGUGGGGGAUAACGUAGGGAAACUUACGCUAAUACCGCAUACGACCUACGGGUGAAAGCAGGGGAUCUUCGGACCUUGCGCGAUUGAAUGAGCCGAUGUCGGAUUAGCUAGUUGGCGGGGUAAAGGCCCACCAAGGCGACGAUCCGUAGCUGGUCUGAGAGGAUGAUCAGCCACACUGGAACUGAGACACGGUCCAGACUCCUACGGGAGGCAGCAGUGGGGAAUAUUGGACAAUGGGCGCAAGCCUGAUCCAGCCAUACCGCGUGGGUGAAGAAGGCCUUCGGGUUGUAAAGCCCUUUUGUUGGGAAAGAAGAGCAGCAGGUUAAUACCCCGCUGUUCUGACGGUACCCAAAGAAUAAGCACCGGCUAACUUCGUG